This is a long non-coding RNA of Scatophagus argus, 738 nucleotides long. RefSeq lists it as uncharacterized. The transcript has 2 exons. Lineage: Eukaryota; Metazoa; Chordata; Actinopteri; Scatophagidae. The record is from RefSeq and is a predicted model, not a curated record.
CAUUUCAGCCAUAUGUGUGGCAGGGCUCAUCUGUCUGUACAACAUGUUCGUCCAAUCUUCUUUUUCCAGGCUUUUCUCUGUUGCUACCUUCAAGUGAAGUCUAAUGGUCUCUUUUAAUUUUAAAGUCUGGCUGUAUAUUGUUACUCAGUUUUUAAGGGCUUGCAUUACCUUCACUUUUAUUCUAGGUCUGCUGACCUCCAACCAUGUCUCUGUGGCAGUGUCCCGGUGCUGUUUUUGACUUGGAGCACGUGACUUUGAGUUGUUUGACCUGAGCUCGUCCAAGCAGAAAAUGAGCUAUCGCAGCUUUCACCAUCCCACUGGCUGUGCUGCAGUGUCUGUGUUUGCUGCUGAGAGGGUGAGCUGCGCUUAUGGGAGUAGGCGGCAGGCUGCCGUGAAGAGCUCCAUGAACCUCUUGACAAUAACCGAACCAGUCCUUAUGCUCGUUCAACAAUCAGCACCCACUCUUCCCAUGCUGUAGAUGAGAUGCUGCCACUGGCUGCUUCUUUGUUGACGUUGAUGGUGGGGCGGAAUGGAUCAUGGUUAGAGAUUGGAUAAAUUUAGUCUUUUGUUUCCACACAUCAGUCUAUCUCUUUUUUUUUUUGUACUUCAUCUGUUUCAGAUGCAAAUUAACCUUGUGACAUGUUUGAAGACUUUGCAUUAAGCAAAUAUCCUGUUUAGUGUCAGUGAGUCUCUGUAUGACUGUCGUAUCAUCUUGAUUAAAACUGUUUGUUGUCGUUU